This 390-nucleotide ribosomal RNA is filed under the name uncultured Sphingobacteriales bacterium. Its description in RNAcentral is "bacterial SSU rRNA". It matches the Rfam family "Bacterial small subunit ribosomal RNA", at positions 992 to 1382 of the family's 1533-position model. Lineage: Bacteria; Pseudomonadati; Bacteroidota; Sphingobacteriia; Sphingobacteriales. The record is from RNAcentral.
UGACUGUAGGUGAAAGCUUACAUCUCUUCGGUAGCAUUUUACGAGGUGCUGCAUGGUUGUCGUCAGCUCGUGCCGUGAGGUGCCGGGUUAAGUCCCAUAACGAGCGCAACCCCUACCUUUAGUUGCCAUCAGGUUAAGCUGGGGACUCUAAAGGAACUGCCUACGCAAGUAGUGAGGAAGGCGGGGAUGACGUCAAAUCAGCACGGCCCUUACGUCCAGGGCUACACACGUGCUACAAUGGCCGAUACAGAGGGCAGCUACCUGGUGACAGGAUGCAAAUCUCCAAAGUCGGUCUCAGUUCGGAUCGGAGUCUGCAACCCGACUCCGUGAAGUUGGAUUCGCUAGUAAUCGCGCAUCAGCCAUGGCGCGGUGAAUACGUUCCCGGGCCUU